GCCUGAGUGGCUCAGUGGUUGAGCAUCUGCCUUUGGCUCAGGGUGUGAACCCGGAGUCCUGGGAUUAAGUCCCACAUCAGGCU
This 83-nucleotide transfer RNA is filed under the name Canis lupus familiaris (dog). It matches the Rfam family "tRNA". Rfam says of the family: Transfer RNA (tRNA) molecules are approximately 80 nucleotides in length. Their secondary structure includes four short double-helical elements and three loops (D, anti-codon, and T loops). Further hydrogen bonds mediate the characteristic L-shaped molecular structure. tRNAs have two regions of fundamental functional importance: the anti-codon, which is responsible for specific mRNA codon recognition, and the 3' end, to which the tRNAs corresponding amino acid is attached (by aminoacyl-tRNA synthetases). tRNAs cope with the degeneracy of the genetic code in two manners: having more than one tRNA (with a specific anti-codon) for a particular amino acid; and 'wobble' base-pairing, i.e. permitting non-standard base-pairing at the 3rd anti-codon position. RNAcentral also lists the same sequence under 1 other name. The record is from Rfam by way of RNAcentral. Lineage: Eukaryota; Metazoa; Chordata; Mammalia; Carnivora; Canidae.